Molecule: ribosomal RNA, 372 nt
Filed under: uncultured organism
Description: partial 16S ribosomal RNA
Rfam family: Bacterial small subunit ribosomal RNA
Source: RNAcentral
GUAGGUGGCAGGCGUUGUCCGGAAUUAUUGGGCGUAAAGCGCGCGCAGGCGGUUCUUUAAGUCUGAUGUGAAAGCCCACGGCUCAACCGUGGAGGGUCAUUGGAAACUGGAGAACUUGAGUACAGAAGAGGAAAGCGGAAUUCCACGUGUAGCGGUGAAAUGCGGAGAGAUGUGGAGGAACACCAGUGGCGAAGGCGGCUUUCUGGUCUGUAACUGACGCUGAGGCGCGAAAGCGUGGGGAGCAAACAGGAUUAGAUACCCUGGUAGUCCACGCCGUAAACGAUGAGUGCUAAGUGUUAGGGGGUUUCCGCCCCCCUUAGUGCUGCAGCUAACGCAUUAAGCACUCCGCCUGGGAGUACGGCCGCAAGGCUG